AGAGCGAACGCUGGCGGCGUGCCUAACACAUGCAAGUCGAACGAGAAAGUGGAGCAAUCCAUGAGUACAGUGGCGUACGGGUGAGUAACACGUGACUAACCUACCCUCGAGUGGGGAAUAACCUCGGGAAACCGGGCUAAUACCGCAUAACAUCUUCGGAUCAAAUGCGUAAGCAGCUUGAGGAGGGGUCGCGGCCGAUUAGCUAGUUGGCGGGGUAAUGGCCCACCAAGGCAAUGAUCGGUA
RNAcentral lists this ribosomal RNA (243 nucleotides) under uncultured bacterium. Its description in RNAcentral is "partial small subunit ribosomal RNA". It matches the Rfam family "Bacterial small subunit ribosomal RNA", at positions 26 to 285 of the family's 1533-position model. The record is from RNAcentral.